AACGAACGCUGGCGGCAGGCCUAACACAUGCAAGUCGAGCGAGGACUUCGGUUCUAGCGGCGGACGGGUGGGUAACGCGUGGGAAUGUGCCCUUCUCUACGGAAUAGCCCUGGGAAACUGGGAGUAAUACCGUAUACGCCCUAUUGGGGAAAGAUUUAUCGGAGAAGGAUCAGCCCGCGUUGGAUUAGGUAGUUGGUGGGGUAAUGGCCUACCAAGCCGACGAUCCAUAGCUGGUUUGAGAGGAUGAUCAGCCACACUGGGACUGAGACACGGCCCAGACUCCUACGGGAGGCAGCAGUGGGGAAUCUUAGACAAUGGGGGCAACCCUGAUCUAGCCAUGCCGCGUGAGUGAUGAAGGCCUUAGGGUUGUAAAGCUCUUUCAGCUGGGAAGAUAAUGACGGUACCAGCAGAAGAAGCCCCGGCUAACUCCGUG
RNAcentral lists this ribosomal RNA (433 nucleotides) under uncultured bacterium. Its description in RNAcentral is "partial 16S ribosomal RNA". It matches the Rfam family "Bacterial small subunit ribosomal RNA", at positions 29 to 507 of the family's 1533-position model. The record is from RNAcentral.